Phalacrocorax carbo (great cormorant) is the source of this 4440-nucleotide non-coding RNA. The record is from RefSeq and is a predicted model, not a curated record. Lineage: Eukaryota; Metazoa; Chordata; Aves; Suliformes; Phalacrocoracidae.
UGACGGACGGUGAGUGGCAGCGGGGCUGAGGGGGAUACGCGGCCUUGUUGGAGUGGGAGGUCUUGGCCGUGAGCUGGUGGGGGGUCCCUAAUCCUGGCGGAGGGGUUUCCAGGCUGAAGGGAUAUUCGGCGCUUCCUAGAAACGCUCUCUACCAGGCUUCGGUCCUGCAGCGGCACAAACUCGGGCUCCCCAAGCGCUGGUAGCGUGUGGUGCGGCUGGUGGCCCGGUCCAAGGCGCAGUAAGAGGGGCUGCGCAGAAGGAAGCGGCUGUGGGUUGCAAGACAUGUGGUGAAUGUAUCUCUAAGGGGAAGAAAUGCCUGUAAGGAGACUGUUCAGAAUGAGGUGUACUUGGGAUUUCCCACCUUCUGCUUCUGUGGUGCCUGGCAGAGAUCACUUUCAAGAUCUUGAGAACGCCAUGGAGCCGCCUGCAGCUUGCAAGCUGGGGAAGUCUUGGAGGAAGAGGAGAUGAUGCAGAGAGUGAAAAGGAGGAGAGAAACAAUCCCUGGCAAAAAAUUCCCCAGGGCACUGUGGAGGGCAGCAGGGCAGCUUGCAGACCCUGUCUAAGCCCAGCCCAAUCCCUGGGGCUCCUUUCAGGGCAGCCUUAGGACCCCAGCUAAGCCCAGCCCAAACCCUAGGUCUCUGGAGGGCAGCACAGCAGCCCUUGGACCCUGGCUAAGCCUGGCCUAGGCCUUGGGGCUCUCUGGAGAGUAGCAGGGCAGCUUGCAGACCCUGUCUAAGCACAGCCUGGGCACCAGGGCUCUUUCAAGGGCAGCUUGCAGACUCCACCUAAGUCUGGCCAAAUUCUUGGGCUCUCUGGAGGGCAGCAUUCAGACCCUGGCUAAGCCUGGCCCAAACUCCCGGGCUCUCUGCAGGGCAGCCCUCAGACCCCGGCUAAGCCCGGACCAAGGUUGGGCUGUGCGGGGCCCGCUGCCACCCCCGGUACUGUCACACGCACCAGUCGCGCAUGUGCAGUGCCGCGACCGGGCCCAGGCCUGCGGCGGGGGUGGUGCAGUGUGCGCAUGCGCACCACGUGCUGACGGCGUCCGACCACCCCGGCUCGCUGCGGGCCCAGGUCCGUGGCCACCCGCAGGACACAUGCACGGUGCGCUCGGGGCGGUGGCUCGCCCAUGCGCAUUGAGCUCGGGGCGGUGCGGCGGCUCCCGCUCACGCAUGCGCAGUGUGCUGAGGUGGUGCAGCCCGCUUGGGGCUCCUGAGGCGCGGUGGCUGCAAGCUCCCGGUUCGGGGCUCCUCGGGCGCCCCGGGAUGUUCACACCAUCUCCGGAGCUGCAGUCUUUGGUACAGCCCUCUCUGAACUCCCCAGGUUCUCUCAGAUUCCUUCCCGAGGCCCUCAUUUUUUUUCCUCUGAGCCGCCUUUUGUCUCUGCCCCCUUCAGGACGUCCCUACUCGUGAUGCCUGCUGAGUUCUUCCGUGUGCACCACAGCCGUCUUUUAUCUCUGUAGCUCCCUUUGGAUCUCUCUUGUUCUCUAAGAACCCCUUCUCUGUUAUUUUCUGUGCCCUGGAGCAGUGUUUGUCCCCUGUGCAUCUAGGGUGACCGUUCAGCCCCUUGCUCCCUGGUGCAGGUGUACCCCGCUCAGACCCCACCCCGAGUCCAUCGCUGUCCCCCCCAAGCAAGGGAAGGUCAGGGACACCCACAGCUCUCAGUCCUGGCUGCUUCUGUGCUGGAGGCCCAAGGUGGCUGGCCUUCAUUUGGGACCUGCUGAGGCUGAGGGAGCAAGCGCAGAGCCCCAUAACACCCUCAGCCCAGCACAGCACAGCCCCUUCCCAGGGUGCUUGGGGGGGCCCCGCUGACCUCCAGUGCUCCCUGGGGCUUUUACUGGGCUUUGCUGGGGUACAGGCAGAGCCCUGUGUCCCUCCGGAGCCCCCCAGGUCCUUUCCUGGGCUUGCACGCAAGGAGUCUGGCUUUUCUUCACAAUACCCUGUGUCCUUUUCCGUGUGUUGCCAAAGCCAGGGCAGGGGCUCUCCUGCCCUCCAGAGUGUCCCGGGGCUUUCUCUGGGCUUCGCUGAGGAGCUGUGCAGAGCCCUGCUGCCCUCCAGAGUGCCCAGGGGCCUUAUCCAGGCUCUCCUGGGGCCCCAGCAGUGCAGCGCUGCCCUCCCAAGAGCAGCAGAGCCUUCACAGGGCCUUGUCGGAGACCCAGCAGAGCCCAACUUAGCUCCAGAGUGCCCAGCAGGUUUCACUGGGCUUUGCCAGGCCCUGUGCAGAGACCUGCUGCCUUCCAGAGAGCACCCAGGUCUUUGCCAGCCUUUGCAAGGGUCCAGGCCAGGCCCUGCUGUCAUCCAGAUUUUCUUGGCACCUUUGCCAGCCUUUGGAGGGGCCUGGGCAGCGUCGUGCCCUCCAGAGAGCCUUCUCCGGGCUUAGCCUGGGCCUGGGCAAUGCUUGCUGUCCUUACAGGGCAUCUGGGAGAAGGGCUCGUUCAGUUCAUCUCACGCAGUGAUAUUCCAUCUUGCUCCAGCUGAUGGCACAAUUGGGAGUGUGUAGAACAGAGGUUUUUUCCCAGGAAGAUAGAUGGCAUGUUGGACAAAGUCCCAGUUCUCCUGCUCAACAGCUUGUACAGCGUGGGUCUCAGCCUCGCACCAUGCCAGUAUUCCCACCAAUAAUGAGUUCAGAGAAGAGCCUGUUUCUUAUAAAAUGAGAAAAUAAAUACAAGCCAGGCCAAGUCACUAGGUCAGAGAUGAGACAAGAGUUAUCUGCAGGACAAGCAACCAGCAGUUUGAGGCUGUAAAGGACUUCCAGCCAUAGGAAUGAGCUCCCACCAGCAGGAGUUAAUGGCACGUCAGUUCACAGGAGAGCUUCCUUCCAUAGCACAUGUGUGUUUGAGGCAAUAAUCCCUCCAGGGUUUCAGCUCCUUCUGUGCCUAACUUACAGCUGUGUAACCUUCCAAACACACAGCAAAGGCAUUUUUCUCUGGGAAAGUGUCAGCUCCCUUUGGCCUCAUGCUGACAAUCGGCCAUUGUGUGUCCAUUGGUGAUCCAAAGCGCACUAAGAGGGACUCCAAACUGGCUGGGCUGAACACCUGGGUUUUCCUGGUGCUGCUGUAUAAGCCAGACAGCCUUUGGGUUAAUACUGUGGUGUAUGGAGCAAAAUCGGCUCUCUGGGAUGGGAGGUUUGUGCCGUUUAGAGCAACGAGUGGCUCAGUAACGUGUGUAGGUUAGGAAUGCACAUUUACAAGGUCUUGCAAUGGCAACAGUUGAUUAUAUGUACGGGGAUGAAAGUCCACCUGUCCACCUCCUGAUUUUCUUUGCAUUUUGUGGAUUCUGUUGUUUGAGGAAGACAAGACGUUAUUUAUAUUACUUAUUUCAGGGAGGCAGAGUUGCUUAAUACUUAAAAGCCAGGACCAAUUAUUUUUCUUCCUGGCUCUGUCACUUGCAUCAGUGUAUGACCUUAGGGAGGACAUCAGCUUUGCUGUGAAAUUUCCAUAUCUUUAGGAUGAUGAUAAUAACUAAUUCCUUACAGGAUGCUGGAGUGGAACUAGCUAAUAUUCAAAAAGAUCUCUAAGCUUUUUGUUGAUUCACAGCAACAAAAUCAAUAUCAAAAUCAAUAAAGCCAUUGCUUGUAACAAAAAGUUUGCUUUCUAAAAUCAGUUUUAAACGGCAUAAACUCCCCAUUCUUUCUAAAAUGCAAUGGCAAAUUAAUGAGAGCUUUUACAGGAUGGUUCCUGUCAUCUGAACAUCUGCUGACGCGGAAGUCACGGACACAGCACACGACCAAUAUGAUCAAGCAAAUGCCAGUUUAUUACAGACACAGCGUGGUUAAUAUAGCUCUGCAACCACCUUAUCACACACAAGCCUCUACUGUUUAUUAUACACAAGCCUAUUGUUAGUUGGUCAGCACGGCCUUGGGCUUUAUCCCAAGGAUAGCCACUAGCAGCAUCGGCAACUCCCGCCUUGUUUUGCUACGCUGUAACGAGACACUCCCGCCAGUGGUAUGGGAUGCGGCCCCUGUUGACAGAGUAGCACCUGUGGCUAACCUUGGAAUGUGCAACUUAUCAGGAAGACGUAAUGCCAUCCCACACGUUCCCACAGUAAGCUCGUACCAUGCCGCUUUGUAAGUCUUGGGAAAUACAGAAUCACAUUUGUUAGUAAUAGCUACAUACAUUGGUUUUAACUCGCAACAUCCUUGAGGCCUUCUUGUUCCCAGGCAGAUUAAGUCCACGUAGUCCGAGCCUGGAUUGUUCACUACGUGUCCUUUGCUUUCCAGAUAUCCCACAAAUAUCAUGUGUAGUUUUUGUUUGUUUUCUCUUUGUACCUUCUUUAUAAGAAAUCUUUGAAUUUGGAUUCUGAUUUAAAAAUGUCCUUGGCAGGGCAGUUUUUUAUUGUUGCCUGGCAGCUCUCAAAAGUUUCACAGAUGUUUCUCAAUCAUUUACAUUCAAGUUUUAUUUCUGCAGUUUCCUCUGUAACCAAAAUACACCACUUUAUUAAUUUC